Molecule: transfer RNA, 74 nt
Filed under: Muribaculaceae bacterium
Lineage: Bacteria; Pseudomonadati; Bacteroidota; Bacteroidia; Bacteroidales; Muribaculaceae
Also listed under: 1 other name
Description: tRNA-Asn
Rfam family: tRNA
About the family: Transfer RNA (tRNA) molecules are approximately 80 nucleotides in length. Their secondary structure includes four short double-helical elements and three loops (D, anti-codon, and T loops).
Source: RNAcentral
GCCUCAAUAGCUCAGUUGGUUAGAGCACAUGACUGUUAAUCAUGGGGUCGUUGGUUCAAGUCCAUCUUGAGGCG